Molecule: ribosomal RNA, 253 nt
Filed under: uncultured bacterium
Lineage: Bacteria
Description: partial 16S ribosomal RNA
Rfam family: Bacterial small subunit ribosomal RNA
Source: RNAcentral
UACAGAGGAUGCAAGCGUUAUCCGGAAUGAUUGGGCGUAAAGCGUCUGUAGGUGGCUUUUUAAGUCCGCCGUCAAAUCCCAGGGCUCAACUCUGGACAGGCGGUGGAAACUACCAAGCUGGAGUACGGUAGGGGCAGAGGGAAUUUCCGGUGGAGCGGUGAAAUGCGUUGAUAUCGGAAGGAACGCCGGUGGCGAAAGCGGCGUGCUGGACCUCUUCUGACGCUGAGGCGCGAAAGCCAGGGGAGCAAACGGG